This is a long non-coding RNA of Cercocebus atys (sooty mangabey), 4442 nucleotides long. RefSeq lists it as uncharacterized. The transcript is spliced from 3 exons. The record is from RefSeq and is a predicted model, not a curated record. Lineage: Eukaryota; Metazoa; Chordata; Mammalia; Primates; Cercopithecidae.
GCUCUGCUUUUCUCUUUCACUAAGAGAGAGAAAGAGACCAAAGAAUGGUCUGCCGGGAGGGCGUCUGUGCAAAUCCCCAGGGAGCCAGGGGCUUGAGCCCUCUUCAUUUUCUUACAGACACACAUUCACUUCCAUGCCUCCUUAGUGAGGGCAUGAUGCACAGUGUGUGUGUAUGUGCAGGUGUGUGCAUGCAUAUGUGUGUGUGCAUAUGUGUGUGUACAUAUGUGUGUGUUGUGGGGGUGUGCAGUGGACAGGAAGGAGAGGGCAGCUCCAGCUCAAAGCUGCAAGUCUGUCUGAAAGAAAGAUUCCCUGGACCACAGCAAGAGAGACUUUUCAUUUGCAUCCAUUUUUUAUCAGCAUUUAAAGCUAUAUUUUGAGUAGCAUGCAAACCUUAAGUUACUUAACUAUUCUUAGAAGCAUUUACACAGUAAGAUAAUACAUGAUAAUGUACAUUGAAAUAUUCACCCUGCACCCCCAACAUUAUUUUGCAUACCUACAUCCCCCAAAGAAUCCCAUGGCAGGGAAGUGUGGUCCACCUGGGACCCCUCAGUGGGGGCACUUGGUCAGUCCCCAAGGCUCUGUGUGGCCCUCCAGAGACUCUGCUUCCCACCGGCUCAGUCAGCACUACAGAGGGGGAAUGGGGGAGGUGGAGUAGGGGCAGGCAGGACAGUAGGGGGAGGACAGUCAGGCACCCCAUGUCCUGGUUUUUGCAGUGGCUGGGAGGCGGCUGAGGGUGGAAGGCCGACUGCCCUGAGAACUGGUUGAGGCUUAAGGCGGGGGUGGUAGGGCCAUCCCCACUGCCUGCAGGGCCUUUGGUCACCCUUGUCACCCAAGGCUUCUCCCCAGCAGCACUGGGCACCCCAGUGAGAGAGUGGCCAAGGCAGAGGUGUGGAUGGAUCAGGGAGGGAGGUCUCAUUCGGCUCUGACAGGAAAAGGGUCAAAGAAGGGCCAGGGUGGCCAGAGGGAGGGUCACAGUCUCUGGGUCGGGCAGGAGGAGGGAAGAAGGGAACAGGCAGGGUCAGCAGCCAGGGCGCAGGCAGAGGCAGGUGCACGCUGGGAGGUCAGACCCUGCAAGGCCCAUGGGGAGUGUCAGCUGGGAUGGGCUCCAGGUGCGUCCUCAGGGCACUGGGCAGCUCUCAGGCCAGGCUCCCCGGACUCUGGUGGGUGAUGUGGUCACUCUCGAGGCACUGCUGUCAGUCAGGGCUCGGCCACCUCCCCGGGCAGCACCCAUCCCAUCUCAGGACUGGACUUUCUCAGCUCCCACAGAGGGUGCCGCCUCUUGCCCAGGAGGGGCAGCCCCAUUGUGCAGCCUGAGGCACCCCGCAAGUCCCAAGUGGCUCCCUCCAAGCCAGCCUAGAGCUCCCUCUUCUCCAGGGUCCUGGUGCCUCGCAGGUGUCAGCUCCACAGGGAGGCCCUUGCUUUCCUUGUCUGUGCCUUGUCCCGGGCUGAGACUUAGGGUGGAUAGGGUUGGGCUGGUCCUUCCCUGGGGCCCUCUCAGGGAGGGGGAUGGCUCCUGGCCCGGGCAAGUCCUCAGCUCUGCCUGGGUUGCCUCUCAGUGAGAUGGAACUGCCCCCUGUCAGUGCCCUGGAGGUGAAGCAAAGAUGGCAGGAAAUAAAACGCACUGACAAGUGGCCGAAGAUGCUUGGAGACUGGACAAAAUAUGGGAGCAGCAAGAAGGUAACAUGGGGAGGGAGUGGCCCCCGUGACUGCUCUCUGCAUAGCCAGGAGAGAGGCACCCAUGGCUGUGACCUGGCACCGUCUGCCUCUGCAUCAGUGGGUGGGUGGCAUCCCAUCCUCACCAUAGGACAGCAGGCCUGUUCACCAGCUUUCCUCCCUGAGUCGCCCCGUGUCCUGUCUCACUGGAGUGUUCUUUUGUCUUUAGCUGUGUACAAAGACAUUGUGUACAAAGGCAUUCCCCUGGUGGUGCGGGGCUGGGCGUGGUCACUCCUGCUAGACAUUGACAAAGUGAAGGCUGAGAACCGAGGGGAAGACAAGCCCUGCCCUACGGGUCAUGAAGGAGAAGGGAAAGAGGUCAUCCAGGAUCACCCACCACAUCAAGGCAGAUGUCAGCCACACCCUGCAGAACCACGUGAUGUUUAGAGAAUGAUUUGGAGUCAGGUAAGGCCUAUGGGGGCUGCAGGGGUACCAGGGAACAUGGGGGCGAUCCAGAGCGAUGAGGGCUUCCCCAGGGCAGAGGCCACGGUCACUCAGGAAAAGUGACAGAGCUGCCAAGGGCUCUCCUGGCCCAGGCAGCAGCCAGCAUUAUGGACUGAGCACCUCCCGGGCUCUAAGCCCUGGGCCGGGCUGGGACAUGUGGGGACAGAACCCAGGUGGCUCCCAAGGAGACGGGAGGCAGCAAAAAAAAAAAAAAAAUCAUGCAGAUGGUGAAAAGUGUUCUCCACGCCCCACAAUGAGCCAGGGUAGAGACCCACGGGAAGGCGGCAGGAUGGCGGGGCUCGGGAGCCUUCCCGGGAAACACUGACAGCCCAAAAUACCAGGGAGGAUGCGGGGCCCUGGAAACGCUCAUCCAUGAUGGGUGGGCACACGACAGGGCACUUUGGAAGUCAGAUGGGCCGUGGCUCACAAAGCUCAGUGGCCUUGUACCACACAUCCCCAAAGUGUCACAGAUAUUGACCACAAUGGUUUGAAAACUGACGUGCAAAUAAAACCCACAUGCCACAUUCACUGCUUGAUUGAUUGUCACUCACACCCGGAGGCCACUGAGAUGAUCUUCAACAGGGGUACUGGGGAGAAAGGGGGUUCCACUCUUCAGAUAGAGAUGACUCGGUGAGGAAAAGGAAUGAACCCCUGAUGCCCGCAGGAAUAUGGGUGGUCUUAGAUGUGUGUUGCUGAGGGAAAGAAGCCAGACUCAACAGGCUACCACCACAGGAUUCCAAUUCAUUGGCCAUUCUGGGAAAGGGCAAAGCAUAGAGACAGAGAAUAAUUGGUCAGGAUGGUCAGGCGCUGAUGGAGCCAGGAGAGGUCAGCUGCAAAGGGGACAUGCUGGGGACUUGGAGGAUGAAGGAGCCGCUCUGGGAGGGGCUGCAGUGGUGGACGGAAGGGUCUGCACAUUGGUUCAGAACCGUGGAACUGCACGUCCCAAAGACUGGACUUCCGUGUGUGCAAACCAAGAAAAGGGGGAAGAAAAAAUCAACCAGAGUGAAAAUAAUCACGGAUCCAAAAUGUACACCUGUGAUAUUUGCAUUGCAAAGAAUGUGGAUUUUACUGAAAAAACUUCUAAAAACUCAGGUGUCCUGAAGAGCUCACUGCUUAUCUGGGGGAAUCAUCUGAACCCAGAAUUGUGUUUGUUGUCAGGGUUUGUAGACAAAAUGAAACUGACAGCAUCCACACAAAACAAAACCCUCUUUUCCCUCUUUUCUAGGCAGCAGGAAUUAUGUGACAUCCUCGUGGCCUAUUCUGCAUAUAACCCUGUGAAUAUUCCUGGGCAGCGAUAUUCCUGGGCCAUGUGCCCAUAUUCACAGGCAUGGGUGUCUCUUGGGGGUGUCAGCACUUCUUGAAAAUUCAGUGUUCGUGACCCACCAGCUCGUAGUAGGCAGGACUCAAGCUUACUGCUGGCGUGGACACCCAAGCAAGGGGGCAGCACAAGGGGUCAAACUGAGACGGAAAAGGGUUGAAGCCCAGACUCUUGGUGUCAUCUUGACCCGAUCCCCACGUCUCAGAUGAAGAAAUGACCUUCCCCUCCUGGUGUUGCCCCGAAGCCCAGGAGCUUGGCAGGGUCGCAUGCAGAUGGUCCUCACAGGAGACAGAUUUGACAAGUUGCUGAGGUGCCUGAUGGGCCAGGCUCUUGUCAUGAAAUGAGUUUGCAUCCUGAGGAAACCUCUUCUUCACCAGAAACCAGGCAGAGAUCCAAUUUUCCCUUUCCCUGAACCCCACAGGAGUACAGCAGACAAGGAGGGGGUCAUCCAGCUGGCUGCUCCUGCUCCACCCCCACUUUCCAGACCAUUCUAGGCAGGGAGAGUGGCUGAGCCAACUCCAUGGGCUGCCCACAUGGAGUCGGGACCCAGCUGCCCUCCUGUGCCUGGCAGGCAGUCCUUGGGCUGUUGCAGGACCUUUUGUGUGGUGGUCAGCGCCCCGCUGCCUGCCCUCGUGGCAGGUGAGUUCACAGGUGCUGCUCCGGGCCUGGCACAGUGGCCUCCCCAGCCUGGCCCAGGGUAGGGAGCAUGAACAAUCCCUGACUGUGCCCUUUCAGGCCAUGUGAGCUUGGACGCUCGCUGCAGGAGUACCCCCAGGCUCCUUGUCAACUGAGUCGUGCAUGACCUGUUGAGUCCUCAUGCCCAGUGCCAGGGGAGGAAUGCAGAGGCUGCACCCCAAAUCCCGGGGGCCUGUGGCAGGUGUCCCUGAGGACCUCUGCCAUUUCUGGUGACAUGAGUCCUCCCAGGUGAUCUCAGCCCUCCCAGGAGACACCCUUCCACGGUGACUCU